This 206-nucleotide ribosomal RNA is filed under the name Enterobacter cloacae. RNAcentral describes it as "partial 23S ribosomal RNA". It matches the Rfam family "Bacterial large subunit ribosomal RNA", at positions 2110 to 2315 of the family's 2925-position model. The record is from RNAcentral. Lineage: Bacteria; Pseudomonadati; Pseudomonadota; Gammaproteobacteria; Enterobacterales; Enterobacteriaceae.
CUUGACACUGAACACUGGUCCUUGAUGUGUAGGAUAGGUGGGAGGCUUUGAAGCGUGGACGCCAGUCUGCGUGGAGCCAUCCUUGAAAUACCACCCUUUAAUGGCUGGUGUUCUAACGUAGACCCGUAAUCCGGGUUGCGGACAGUGUCUGGUGGGUAGUUUGACUGGGGCGGUCUCCUCCCAAAGAGUAACGGAGGAGCACGAAG